GCGUAAUAAAUCGCCCUUUAAUUGUGGGCCUGUAUGAACGGACAAACGAAAGAAAACCUGUCUCUUAUAGUAAAAAUAAAAAUUAGUCUUCAGGUGAAGAAACCUGAAUAAAAUUAAAGGACAAAAAGACCCUGUAGAGCUUAGUUUUUCUUUAAACUAACCCUUAUUUCAACUUAAAUUAUUUAUACUUAAAACCUUAUUUUAAAUAAAACUUAGCUGGGGCGGCUAAGGAAACAAAUCUUCCAUUUUUAACUUACGGCCAUACACCUAUCAAUAAUUGACCCUUAUUAGAUCAAAAAAUAAAGCUACCUCAGGGAUAACAGAUUAAUCCUUCUCGAGAGUUCACAUUGACAGAAGGGCUUGACACCUCGAUGUUGGCUUAAAGAUACCCAAUAAAUCUGCAGCAGUUUAUAAAGGUAGGUUUGUUCAACCUUUAAAA
This 439-nucleotide ribosomal RNA is filed under the name Polycirrus medusa. RNAcentral's name for it is "partial large subunit ribosomal RNA". It matches the Rfam family "Bacterial large subunit ribosomal RNA", at positions 1959 to 2593 of the family's 2925-position model. The record is from RNAcentral. Lineage: Eukaryota; Metazoa; Annelida; Polychaeta; Terebellida; Terebellidae.